CUUGAACGCUGGCGGCAGGCCUAACACAUGCAAGUCGAGCGAGCGGCGGACGGGUGAGUAAUGUAUGGGGAUCUGCCCGAUAGAGGGGGAUAACUACUGGAAACGGUGGCUAAUACCGCAUACUAUCGGAUGAACCCAUAUGGGAUUAGCUAGUAGGUGGGGUAAAGGCUCACCAAGGCGACGAUCACUAGCUGGUCUGCGAGGAUGACCAGCAACACUGGGACUGAGACACGGCCCAGACUCCUACGGGAGGCAGCAGUGGGGAAUAUUGCACAAUGGGCGCAAGCCUGAUGCAGCAAUGCCGCGUGUAUGAAGAAGGCCUUAGGGUUGUAAAGUACUUUCAGCGGGGAGGCGUUACCCGCAGAAGAAGCACCGGCUAACUCCGUGCCAGCAGCCGCGGUAAUUC
RNAcentral lists this ribosomal RNA (406 nucleotides) under uncultured bacterium. Its description in RNAcentral is "partial 16S ribosomal RNA". It matches the Rfam family "Bacterial small subunit ribosomal RNA", at positions 30 to 526 of the family's 1533-position model. The record is from RNAcentral.